This 146-nucleotide small RNA is filed under the name Marmota monax (woodchuck). The record is from RNAcentral. Lineage: Eukaryota; Metazoa; Chordata; Mammalia; Rodentia; Sciuridae.
GCUGGGCACAGUGGCACAUGCCUCUAAUCCCAGCAUCUCGGGAGGCUGAGGCAGGAGGAUUUGGAGUUUGAAGAGAGCCUCAGCAAAAGUGAGGCGAGCCUCAGCAAAAGUGAGGCUCCAAGCAACUCAUUGAGAUCAUGUCUCUG